ACGAACGCUGGCGGCGUGCCUAAUACAUGCAAGUUGAGCGCUGAAGGUUGGUACUUGUACCAACUGGAUGAGCAGCGAACGGGUGAGUAACGCGUGGGGAAUCUGCCUUUGAGCGGGGGACAACAUUUGGAAACGAAUGCUAAUACCGCAUAAAAACUUUAAACACAAGUUUUAAGUUUGAAAGAUGCAAUUGCAUCACUCAAAGAUGAUCCCGCGUUGUAUUAGCUAGUUGGUGAGGUAAAGGCUCACCAAGGCGAUGAUACAUAGCCGACCUGAGAGGGUGAUCGGCCACAUUGGGACUGAGACACGGCCCAAACUCCUACGGGAGGCAGCAGUAGGGGAUCUUCGGCAAUGGACGAAAGUCUGACCGAGCAACGCCGCGUGAGUGAAGAAGGUUUUCGGAUCGUAAAACUCUGUUGGUAGAGAAGAACGUUGGUGAGAGUGGAAAGCUCAUCAAGUGACGGUAACUACCCAGAAAGGGACGGCUAACUACGUG
This 496-nucleotide ribosomal RNA is filed under the name uncultured bacterium. RNAcentral describes it as "partial 16S ribosomal RNA". It matches the Rfam family "Bacterial small subunit ribosomal RNA", at positions 29 to 507 of the family's 1533-position model. The record is from RNAcentral.